Molecule: ribosomal RNA, 375 nt
Filed under: uncultured bacterium
Lineage: Bacteria
Description: bacterial SSU rRNA
Rfam family: Bacterial small subunit ribosomal RNA
Source: RNAcentral
GGGGGGAGCAAGCGUUGUUCGGAUUUACUGGGCGUAAAGGGCGCGUAGGCGGCCACCGCAAGUCGACUGUGAAAUCUCUGGGCUUAACCCAGAACGGUCAGCCGAUACUGCGGGGCUAGAGUGCAGAAGGGGCAACUGGAAUUCUCGGUGUAGCGGUGAAAUGCGUAGAUAUCGAGAGGAACACCUGCGGCGAAGGCGGGUUGCUGGGCUGACACUGACGCUGAGGCGCGAAAGCUAGGGGAGCGAACGGGAUUAGAUACCCCGGUAGUCCUAGCCUUAAACGAUGAAUGCUUGGUGUCUGGGGUUUUAUAGUCCCCGGGUGCCGUCGCUAACGCUUUAAGCAUUCCGCCUGGGGAGUACGGUCGCAAGACUGAA